This 69-nucleotide transfer RNA is filed under the name Olsenella uli. It matches the Rfam family "tRNA". Rfam says of the family: Transfer RNA (tRNA) molecules are approximately 80 nucleotides in length. The record is from RNAcentral. RNAcentral also lists the same sequence under 1 other name. Lineage: Bacteria; Bacillati; Actinomycetota; Coriobacteriia; Coriobacteriales; Atopobiaceae.
GGUAUUAGCUCAGCUGGUUAGAGCGCCGGCCUGUCACGUCGGAGGUCGCGGGUUCAAGUCCCGCAUAUC